This is a long non-coding RNA of Nematostella vectensis (starlet sea anemone), 177 nucleotides long. RefSeq lists it as uncharacterized. The record is from RefSeq and is a predicted model, not a curated record. The transcript has 2 exons. NCBI's taxonomy places the organism in Eukaryota, Metazoa, Cnidaria, Anthozoa, Actiniaria, Edwardsiidae.
AAGUUUUGAAGAGUCAAGUCUUGUGCUCGAGUCAAGGUUAAUCUCAGCCAGAGAUUCUGAAAUCAAGCUGAGACACAAGCUGCUGGCUAAGAGGCAUGACCCAGGGCAGGAUGUACAUAUAAGGCAUUGGUAUUUAAUGUAGGUCACCAAAAAUAAACACAUAUAAAGUAACAAAAA